Bombus terrestris (buff-tailed bumblebee) is the source of this 1605-nucleotide long non-coding RNA. RefSeq lists it as uncharacterized. The record is from RefSeq and is a predicted model, not a curated record. The transcript is spliced from 4 exons. Lineage: Eukaryota; Metazoa; Arthropoda; Insecta; Hymenoptera; Apidae.
AAUCUCGAAGGUCUUUUAAGUCUUGAAAGUCUUGGUUACUUUAAUAAAUCUUGAAAGCUUAACACGUAGUCAAUAUUUUACAAGUAUUUUAGAUAUUACGUUAGAUAUUAAACAAAAUCUAAAAUGUCUGAGGUAUCGGAAAUGUAUUCCAAUGCAAUUUUCAAGACUUUCAAGACUUACAAGAUUUCCAAGGCUUACAAGACUUUCAAGAGUUAUUCCUAUUCAAAGAAUCCUAUUCGAAGUGAUUCAAAAUUUUGACGGUCUUGAAAAAUAUCGAAUCGUUCUGAAAUUAAUUGUGAGAUUCGAAUACCAAUCACUACUUGCAGCUACAUCAUCUAUUAAAUAACAUUAUUAAAGGUUAACGUUUCUGUUGUGUUUGUAUUCAAAGAUAUUAGAUUGUUCUUGUCAAGGUCAACAAUUUUUUAAACGACGAAAGCAUAUACUUAUGUACUUUCAUUCAUUCAAACUUGUUUAAAUAAAUUUAUUAAUAAACUCAAAUCUGACGUUUUUGAUAAGUUUUGAAUAUCGAGUGAAUUAAACUAAAAAAGGUUUAAUAUUGUGUCAUUGAAAAAAGAAUGUUUUAUUAACAAAUUCUGAAUGUUUCUUCUUAAUUUUCUUUAAUAUUCAACUAAAAGCAGUAUUUGUUUGAAUGUUCUAUUAUUUUCUAGAAAUUUAUAUAAAAAGCUACGAAUUUUUCGAAUAGCCUACUAAUUAAACAAUUGAGAUGGUAAAUAAUGUGUGCUAGAAGAGAAAAAGAAGGAUAUAAACGUAUUGAAUUAGUUAAAUUAAAGACUACAUUGAUACCUUUAUAUUUUUUAAUCAGAACAAAAGUGGCUCUUAGAAAUUUUGGUUCUAUGUAUUUUAUAUGAUAGCUCUAACAAGUGAAAUGUAUUAUUUUAUCACUUAUACAAAAAUAGGAAAAACGCAUCGAUUGGUCUAUAAGUAAAUAUACUUAAAUAUACUAUAGUUCGGUUUAAAGAGAUAAAAAUGACUUUAAUAUUUGAAAUAUCUUCACUUCCGGGUUAGCAAAGUGUACCACGUGAUGCAUGAUUCAAAACUAUUUAAUCUUGUGAUAUUUUUAUCUGUUACUGUUUACAAAGCAUGACUUCAUCCAGUAACAAGAAAUGCUAUAGCAUACAUGACAAUUUUUAUAACAAAUAUGGCAUCAAUUAAAGCAUAUUUAAUCCAGUAAGAACUAAGUAGGAAGAUAAUUCGUAGAAGUUGCAUAAACGUAGUAUUAUUGGAAAACGCAAAUAAAGUAACUUGUUUUGUCAAGUUGUAGGAGAUGGGUGUCGGAAGAAAUAGUAAUUGAAAGAAAUAUUAUUCCAAUUCCUUGGGAUUCUUCUUUAAUAUAAUGUUAAAACAUAAAAUUGGCUAAUAUAAAUUAAUUGAAGAAUGUUACAAAUAAAAUGUUGCGUCACUGCAACGUUGUUUUUUAACGGAUUAAUGGAUACUAAAACACGGUAAUAAUAUAACAUGUUGAUAUUUUACGAUGUACAAGUAAUCGAUGAGGACGAGUUACUUCACACUAUGAGAUGUGAGACGUUUGCAGUGUAUGCAGCGGGCGAUAAUCUGAUAUCGUCUGAACGUGGUAUAGGUCGUUGA